UAAUACUAGGGGGGCAAGCGUUGUCCGGAUUCAUUGGGCGUAAAGAGUUCGUAGGCGGUCUAAACAGUCAAAAUUGAAAUACCACGGCUUAACCGUGGGCCCGGUUUUGAUACUUUUAGACUUGAGUUAGGUAGGGGUAAGCGGAAUUCCUGGUGUAGCGGUGAAAUGCGUAGAUAUCAGGAGGAACACCAAAGGCGAAGGCAGCUUACUGGACCUCGACUGACGCUGAGGAACGAAAGCGUGGGUAGCAAACAGGAUUAGAGACCCUGGUAGUCCACGCCGUAAACGAUGAGCACUUGAUGGUGGGGGAUUUAAGCCCUUCACUGUCGGAGUUAACGCGUUAAGUGCUCCGCCUGGGGACUACGACCGCAAGGUUG
Molecule: ribosomal RNA, 377 nt
Filed under: uncultured Deferribacteraceae bacterium
Lineage: Bacteria; Pseudomonadati; Deferribacterota; Deferribacteres; Deferribacterales; Deferribacteraceae
Description: bacterial SSU rRNA
Rfam family: Bacterial small subunit ribosomal RNA
Source: RNAcentral